Molecule: transfer RNA, 92 nt
Filed under: Candidatus Saccharimonadota bacterium
Lineage: Bacteria; Candidatus Saccharimonadota
Description: tRNA-Leu
Rfam family: tRNA
About the family: Transfer RNA (tRNA) molecules are approximately 80 nucleotides in length. Their secondary structure includes four short double-helical elements and three loops (D, anti-codon, and T loops). Further hydrogen bonds mediate the characteristic L-shaped molecular structure. tRNAs have two regions of fundamental functional importance: the anti-codon, which is responsible for specific mRNA codon recognition, and the 3' end, to which the tRNAs corresponding amino acid is attached (by aminoacyl-tRNA synthetases). tRNAs cope with the degeneracy of the genetic code in two manners: having more than one tRNA (with a specific anti-codon) for a particular amino acid; and 'wobble' base-pairing, i.e. permitting non-standard base-pairing at the 3rd anti-codon position.
Source: RNAcentral
CCCGGGAUGGUGAAACUGGUAAACACAGCGGGCUUAAAACCCGCCGCCAUCUUAAAAGAGGCUUGUCGGUUCGAGUCCGAUUCCCGGGACCA